GAUGAACGCUAGCUACAGGCUUAACACAUGCAAGUCGAGGGGAAACGAUAUUGGAAGCUUGCUUCCGAUAGGCGUCGACCGGCGCACGGGUGAGUAACGCGUAUCCAACCUGCCCACCACUUGGGGAUAACCUUGCGAAAGUAAGACUAAUACCCAAUGACGUCUCUAGAGGACAUCUGAAAGAGAUUAAAGAUUUAUCGGUGAUGGAUGGGGAUGCGUCUGAUUAGCUUGUUGGCGGGGUAACGGCCCACCAAGGCAACGAUCAGUAGGGGUUCUGAGAGGAAGGUCCCCCACAUUGGAACUGAGACACGGUCCAAACUCCUACGGGAGGCAGCAGUGAGGAAUAUUGGUCAAUGGGCGAGAGCCUGAACCAGCCAAGUAGCGUGCAGGAUGACGGCCCUAUGGGUUGUAAACUGCUUUUAUAAGGGAAUAAAGUGAGUCUCGUGAGACUUUUUGCAUGUACCUUAUGAAUAAGGACCGGCUAAUUCCGUGCCAGCAGCCGCGGUAAUACGGAAGGUCCGGGCGUUAUCCGGAUUUAUUGGGUUUAAAGGGAGCGUAGGCCGGAGAUUAAGCGUGUUGUGAAAUGUAGACGCUCAACGUCUGCACUGCAGCGCGAACUGGUUUCCUUGAGUACGCACAAAGUGGGCGGAAUUCGUGGUGUAGCGGUGAAAUGCUUAGAUAUCACGAAGAACUCCGAUUGCGAAGGCAGCUCACUGGAGCGCAACUGACGCUGAAGCUCGAAAGUGCGGGUAUCGAACAGGAUUAGAUACCCUGGUAGUCCGCACGGUAAACGAUGGAUGCCCGCUGUUGGUCUGAAUAGGUCAGCGGCCAAGCGAAAGCAUUAAGCAUCCCACCUGGGGAGUACGCCGGCAACGGUGAAACUCAAAGGAAUUGACGGAAGGGC
This 904-nucleotide ribosomal RNA is filed under the name uncultured bacterium. RNAcentral describes it as "bacterial SSU rRNA". It matches the Rfam family "Bacterial small subunit ribosomal RNA", at positions 28 to 922 of the family's 1533-position model. The record is from RNAcentral.